Molecule: long non-coding RNA, 149 nt
Organism: Cervus elaphus (red deer)
Lineage: Eukaryota; Metazoa; Chordata; Mammalia; Artiodactyla; Cervidae
Exons: 3
Source: RefSeq, a predicted model, not a curated record
GAUGUGGGUUUGAUCCCUGGGUCAGGAAGAUCUCCUGGAGAAGGAAAUAGCAACCCACUCCAGUAUUCUUGCCUGGGAAAUUUUACGGACAGAGGAGCCGGGCAUUCUGUAGUCCAAGGAGUCAUAAAAGAGUCAGAUACCCACUUAGU